CCUACGGGGGGCGGCAGUGAGGAAUAUUGCGCAAUGGGGGCAACCCUGACGCAGCAACGCCGCGUGAGUGAGGAAGGUUUUCGGAUUGUAAAGCUCUGUCGAGCGGAAAGAGAUGCACGAUGGCUAAUAUCCAUCAUGCUUGACGGUACCGCUAGAGGAAGCACCGGCUAACUCCGUGCCAGCAGCCCCGGUC
Molecule: ribosomal RNA, 193 nt
Filed under: uncultured bacterium
Lineage: Bacteria
Description: partial 16S rRNA
Rfam family: Bacterial small subunit ribosomal RNA
Source: RNAcentral